This 406-nucleotide ribosomal RNA is filed under the name uncultured bacterium. Its description in RNAcentral is "partial 16S ribosomal RNA". It matches the Rfam family "Bacterial small subunit ribosomal RNA", at positions 30 to 526 of the family's 1533-position model. The record is from RNAcentral.
AUUGAACGCUGGCGGCAGGCUUAACACAUGCAAGUCGAGCGAGCGGCGGACGGGUGAGUAAUGUCUGGGGAACUGCCCGAUAGAGGGGGAUAACUACUGGAAACGGUGGCUAAUACCGCAUACUAUCGGAUGAACCCAUAUGGGAUUAGCUAGUAGGUGGGGUAAUGGCUCACCUAGGCGACGAUCCCUAGCUGGUCUGAGAGGAUGACCAGCCACACUGGAACUGAGACACGGCCCAGACUCCUACGGGAGGCAGCAGUGGGGAAUAUUGCACAAUGGGCGCAAGCCUGAUGCAGCCAUGCCGCGUGUAUGAAGAAGGCCUUCGGGUUGUGAAGUACUUUCAGUGGGGAGGCGUUACCGACAGAAGAAGCACCGGCUAACUCCGUGCCAGCAGCCGCGGUAAUUC